RNAcentral lists this ribosomal RNA (207 nucleotides) under uncultured bacterium. RNAcentral's name for it is "partial 16S ribosomal RNA". It matches the Rfam family "Bacterial small subunit ribosomal RNA", at positions 568 to 774 of the family's 1533-position model. The record is from RNAcentral.
CACGUAGGCGGACUCUUAAGUCAGGGGUGAAAUCCUGGAGCUCAACUCCAGAACUGCCUUUGAUACUGGGAGUCUUGAGUUCGGGAGAGGUGAGUGGAACUGCGAGUGUAGGGGUGAAAUUCGUAGAUAUUCGCAAGAACACCAGUGGCGAAGGCGGCUCACUGGCCCGAUACUGACGCUGAGGUGCGAAAGCGUGGGGAGCAGACA